This 439-nucleotide ribosomal RNA is filed under the name uncultured bacterium. RNAcentral describes it as "partial 16S ribosomal RNA". It matches the Rfam family "Bacterial small subunit ribosomal RNA", at positions 338 to 795 of the family's 1533-position model. The record is from RNAcentral.
CCUACGGGAGGCAGCAGUGGGGAAUAUUGCACAAUGGGGGAAACCCUGAUGCAGCGACGCCGCGUGAGUGAAGAAGUAAUUCGUUAUGUAAAGCUCUAUCAGCAGGGGAGAAAAUGACGGUACCUGAGUAAGAAGCCCCGGCUAACUACGUGCCAGCAGCCGCGGUAAUACGUCGGGGCAAGCGUUAUCCGGGUUUACUGGGGGUAAAGGGAGCGUAGACGGCAGUGCAAGUCUGGAGUGAAAGGCGGGGGGUCAACCCCCGGACAGCUGUGGAAACUGUACGGCUGGAGUGCAGGAGAGGUAAGUGGAAUUCCUGGUGUAGCGGUGAAAUGCGUAGAUAUUAGGAGGAACCCCAGUGGCGAAGGCGGCUUACUGGACUGUAACUGACGUUGAGGCUCGAAAGCGUGGGGAGCAAACAGGAUUAGAUACCCGAGUAGUC